CUACGGGUUGCAGCAGUGGGGAAUAUUGCACAAUGGGCGCAAGCCUGAUGCAGCCAUGCCGCGUGUAUGCAGAAGGCCUUCGGGUUGUAAAGUACUUUCAGCGGGGAGGAAGGGAGUAAAGUUAAUACCUUUGCUCAUUGACGUUACCCGCAGAAGAAGCACCGGCUAACUCCGUGCCAGCAGCCGCGGUAAUACGGAGGGUGCAAGCGUUAAUCGGAAUUACUGGGCGUAAAGCGCACGCAGGCGGUUUGUUAAGUCAGAUGUGAAAUCCCCGGGCUCAACCUGGGAACUGCAUCUGAUACUGGAAAGCUUGAGUCUCGUAGAGGGGGGUAGAAUUCCAGGUGUAGCGGUGAAAUGCGUAGAGAUCUGGAGGAAUACCGGUGGCGAAGGCGGCCCCCUGGACGAAGACUGACGCUCAGGUGCGAAAGCGUGGGGAGCAAACAGGAUUAGAUACCCGUGUAGUC
RNAcentral lists this ribosomal RNA (464 nucleotides) under uncultured bacterium. RNAcentral's name for it is "partial 16S ribosomal RNA". It matches the Rfam family "Bacterial small subunit ribosomal RNA", at positions 339 to 795 of the family's 1533-position model. The record is from RNAcentral.